GAUGAACGCUGGCGGCGUGCCUAAUACAUGCAAGUCGAGCGAACGGACGAGAAGCUUGCUUCUCUGAUGUUAGCGGCGGACGGGUGAGUAACACGUGGAUAACCUACCUAUAAGACUGGGUUAACUUCGGGAAACCGGAGCUAAUACCGGAUAAUAUUUUGAACCGCAUGGUUCAAAAGUGAAAGACGGUCCUGCUGUCACUUAUAGAUGGAUCCGCGCUGCAUUAGCUAGUUGGUAAGGUAACGGCUUACCAAGGCAACGAUGCAUAGCCGACCUGAGAGGGUGAUCGGCCACACUGGAACUGAGACACGGUCCAGACUCCUACGGGAGGCAGCAGUAGGGAAUCUUCCGCAAUGGGCGAAAGCCUGACGGAGCAACGCCGCGUGAGUGAUGAAGGUCUUCGGAUCGUAAAACUCUGUUAUUAGGGAAGAACAUAUGUGUAAGUAACUGUGCACAUCUUGACGGUACCUAAUCAGAAAGCCACGGCUAACUACGUG
Molecule: ribosomal RNA, 497 nt
Filed under: uncultured bacterium
Lineage: Bacteria
Description: partial 16S ribosomal RNA
Rfam family: Bacterial small subunit ribosomal RNA
Source: RNAcentral